This 82-nucleotide microRNA precursor is filed under the name Tribolium castaneum (red flour beetle). RNAcentral describes it as "mir-46/mir-47/mir-281 microRNA precursor family". It matches the Rfam family "mir-46/mir-47/mir-281 microRNA precursor family". Rfam says of the family: The hairpin precursors (represented here) are predicted based on base pairing and cross-species conservation -- their extents are not known. In this case the mature sequences are expressed from the 3' arms of the hairpin precursors. Lineage: Eukaryota; Metazoa; Arthropoda; Insecta; Coleoptera; Tenebrionidae. The record is from Rfam by way of RNAcentral.
GCAAUUCGAAAAUGAAGAGAGCUAUCCGUCGACAGUAUAUAAUUUACACUGUCAUGGAGUUGCUCUCUUUAUGAACGAAUUC